RNAcentral lists this ribosomal RNA (254 nucleotides) under uncultured bacterium. RNAcentral describes it as "partial 16S ribosomal RNA". It matches the Rfam family "Bacterial small subunit ribosomal RNA", at positions 793 to 1055 of the family's 1533-position model. The record is from RNAcentral.
GUCCACGCCGUAACUAUGAUUACUCGUUUCAGCGAUAUACGGUUGGAGACUAAGCGAAGUGAUAAGUAAUCCACCUGGGGAGUACGAUCGCAAGGUUGAAACUCAAAGGAAUUGACGGGGCCCGCACAAGCGGUGGAGCAUGUGGUUUAAUUCGAUGAUACGCGAGGAACCUUACCAGGGCUUAAAUGUAGAGGGAAUUCAGUGGAAACAUUGGAGUCUUCGGACCGUCUACAAGGUGCUGCAUGGGCUGUCGU